Molecule: ribosomal RNA, 492 nt
Filed under: uncultured bacterium
Lineage: Bacteria
Description: partial 16S ribosomal RNA
Rfam family: Bacterial small subunit ribosomal RNA
Source: RNAcentral
AGUGAACGCUGGCGGUAGGCCUAACACAUGCAAGUCGAACGGCAGCACAGUAAGAGCUUGCUCUUACGGGUGGCGAGUGGCGGACGGGUGAGGAAUACAUCGGAAUCUACUUUUUCGUGGGGGAUAACGUAGGGAAACUUACGCUAAUACCGCAUACGACCUACGGGUGAAAGCAGGGGAUCUUCGGACCUUGCGCGAUUGAAUGAGCCGAUGUCGGAUUAGCUAGUUGGCGGGGUAAGGGCCCACCAAGGCGACGAUCCGUAGCUGGUCUGAGAGGAUGAUCAGCCACACUGGAACUGAGACACGGUCCAGACUCCUACGGGAGGCAGCAGUGGGGAAUAUUGGACAAUGGGCGCAAGCCUGAUCCAGCCAUACCGCGUGGGUGAAGAAGGCCUUCGGGUUGUAAAGCCCUUUUGUUGGGAAAGAAAAGCAGCAGGUUAAUACCCCGCUGUUCUGACGGUACCCAAAGAAUAAGCACCGGCUAACUUCAUG